This 330-nucleotide small nuclear RNA is filed under the name Erinaceus europaeus (western European hedgehog). RNAcentral describes it as "7SK RNA". It matches the Rfam family "7SK RNA". From Rfam's summary of the family: 7SK was discovered as an abundant small nuclear RNA in the mid-70s but a possible function has only recently been suggested. Lineage: Eukaryota; Metazoa; Chordata; Mammalia; Eulipotyphla; Erinaceidae. The record is from Rfam by way of RNAcentral.
AGAUGUGAGGGUGAUCUGGCUCUGAUAUCUUGUCACCCCAUUGAUCGCCAAUGUUGAUCCUGCUGAUCUGGCUGGCAGGCUGGCUAGGCGGGUGCCCCUUCCUCCCACACUGCUCCAUGUGCGUCCCUCCCUAAGCUGUAGGCUCGGUCAAAGAGAACGACAUUUCCCCGAAGACAGACAGAAUGGUCUUCAAUUGAGGGUAUACUGGUAGCUGUGUUCCCCUGCUAGGACCUCCAGACAAGCUCUCAAGGUCCAUUUGUAGCAGAAUGGAGGGUAGUUCCAAGACUUCAGACAUCCAAAUGAGGCACUGCAUGUGGUAAUCUACCCUUU